AUUGUUAGUAUUUCAUUUUAAAUGCUCACAAAAUCUCAAUUCAUUAUCUUGAACUCACUGUAACAAAAAAUAAAAAAUACAGUGAUAUAUUGUGAGUCAUAACUCUUUAAAUUAGUUCAUGUUGGACUUGCAUCCUAAAUGCCCACUAAAUCUCAAUUUAUUAUCUUGAACUCACUGUAACAAAAAAUAGAAAAAUACAGUGAAAUAUCAUGAGUCAUAACUCUUUAAAUUAGUUCAAGCUGGACUUGCAUCCUAAAUGCCCACUAAAUCUCAAUUUAUUAUCAUGAACUCACUGGCUAAAAAAAAUACCAGUGAUAAAUUAUAAUUCACUUGUUAAGUAAAUUACAAGUUAAAAUUGUCCCAAUUGUUAGUAUUCCAUCUUAGAUGCAAUAAGCUCAUCAUAGAGGUGAUGAUAAUAAUAGUAAUAUUUUCAAUUAUAAUAGAAUAAUAAUAAUAAUAAAUGGCGCCAAGUGAAGAAAUAUGCAAUAGCUGUAACAAAAUAAUAUAUGGUCGACAAGAGUCUGUUCAAUGUGAAAAGUGUCCAUUGAGACAACAUGUUGCAUGUUUACUGAAGAAGAACCUAAUUUUUACAAAGACUCAGGCUCCAAAUGUCAUGUCUCCAAAUGUAUGAACAAGUCGCUCCCAAUAAACAAUACUCCAAUGCUGAUGACUCAUAAUACUGAACUAACCUUGCUCUCUGCACCAAAAGAGUUCUUGAAAUAUGUCAGGCAGAACAGAAAUGAGUCAAAUAGCUGUCCCACCUCCAUAUCAAUGGAUGGGGCCAUCAUUUCAAACCCUUAUGAGAUCUGUAAAAUUUGCCUAAGCAUACUCAUUCAGUCACUUGGCGCCAUGUGGUGGAACGGGUUGGCUGUAAGGGGUGAUGGGAGGCCAACAAAUAAAAAAAUAAUAAUAAGAAUAAAAUGAAUGCUCACAAAAUCUUAAUUUAUUAUCUUGAACUCACUGUAACAAAAAAUAGAAAAAUACAGUGAAAUAUCAUGAGUCAUAACUCUUUAAAUUAGUUCAAGCUGGACUUGCAUCCUAAAUGCCCACUAAAUCUCAAUUUAUUAUCAUGAACUCACUGGAUAAAAAAGCAGUGAUACAUUAUAAGUCAUUUUUGCUCCAUGAGUAACAGUUCAUUUUAAUUUUCUACUUGUUAUGUGGAAUUUUACACUGCCAUUAUUGUGGAGGAGUGGAUUGGAUGUAAUAUCAAUAUCAUGUAUAUAUAUCAAUAAAUAAGUAAAUAUCAGUUUUGGAUGUAAGAAUAAUAUCUGAAGGCCAAGAGGCCAAGUUUUUUUGUAAUUCUAUGUUUGUAUGAUUUUAACCCAUUAAGUAGAUGUACAUUUAAAUGUGAAAAAAUUGAAAUAACUACUUGUUAUAAAGAAUUAUACAUAAUAUGUAUGUAUAAUAAAUAUAUAUUAUGAUGGCUACUUUUUCAUUAUUGUGGAGGAGUGGUUUGGCUGUAAGGGGAGAUGUGGAGGCCAAAUAUUUUUGUAAUUAUAUGUUUGUAUGAUUUUAGCCCAUCAAGUAGAUGAUUUAAAUGUGAAAAAAUGAAAUAACUACUCGUUUUAAAGAAUUAUACAUAUAUAUAGUUGUAGUUACUUAGAUUGAAAAUGUAAUUGUUUUUUAAUUUCAGUCUUAGGGGAUAUUAUGUAGGGAAGAAUCGGCAAACAGCCUUUUUGGCCUUGCCACAUUGUACAGACAAUGAUGGGAGAUUCUACAAAAGAAAAAGUAAGUCAUCAACAUUAUCUACUUGUACAAUACUCCGGAUAGUCCGCUAUUGCAUUUCUUGUUUUGUUUGUUCAUUUAUUUUUAUUCAUAUACAAAUGCAACGAUAUAUUACAUAUUAUACAAAUUAUUCAUAUUUAUAUGCAUAACAAUAAUUAUUAUUAUUGGCCUUAUGAAUUUUGAUCUAUUCAUUUAUAUCUAUCUCUUUAAUAAUUUAAAAUUACAACAUUAUUAAUGGACCAACAUGCUUUCUUGAGGUUCAAACUGUUCCAAUUUCAAUUCAUACAACAUUCCAGCUCUAUAAAAUUCUAGCCAAACAGAAUAUUGUAUGAUAGGUAGUGAGUCUUAUCAUAGAGAAAUAUAGCAUAAGAAGAAGAUAGCCCAUGGUAUAGGUCGUUUAUGUUCUGUUUAUAUACUGUUGACUACUGUCUAUUAUUACUUUUCUUGCUGGGUGAGAGUAUAAGAAUGGCACAGUAUGAGAGACUAGCACAUUAUAAAGCGUCACAUAGUUUCUAGAAAAUGUACUACUAAGUUUGAGUUAACAUAAAUGCCCUAUACCUUGAGAUAUAUUCUUAUUUGAUAUUUUGUCUAUGGUCUUCUGUAUGACCAUGACCAUUAAAUAAUUUCAAAAAAGUGUUUAAAAAAAUAGUUGGAAAUCCGCCAUUAGAUUCAAUUCAUUUCUUAUGUAGAUUGUAACUAGAGUAGAUUAUUACAGUAUUCAUAUUCACUAGUUUUUUACAAUAAGCAGAAUAAGUUUAAUUUUUUCUUCAUGUUUGUUUUCAGUGUGCUCCAACAAUGUUUUCCGAAUAACAUUCUAUGUGCAGUGGUUGGGGGAUGGAAGGCACUCGUGGGUGGGCCUCUCUUAUUUGGUGCCCUUUGAGAGGGCACCAAACCCCCAGCACACUCCGUAUGACAUGUUGAAAAAUUACAUCCAAACUCACCGAAAAAACAAGGAAAAUUUAAAGGCCUGCAAAAUCCCAAGGAGGCUGGCGGCGGAAAUAGAUGCUACAGUGGAGGAGGCUCUGGAGAGGCAGGAUAUAUUUGAGUGAAGGACAUUAGAAACAAUGUAAGGAAAGUGAUUUGUAAGGAGUACUCUGGAGAGGAGGGUACAGUGUCUGUAGGGUGAGUGACAAAGAUCAAUUCAUUUCAUUUUCAUUGCUUAUUAAGAAUAAAAAUUCAAUCCAUAUCCAAAAUUAAUUCACUUCGCUUACUAAACAGUCACUAUAUAUAUAGCCUAUUAUCACAAAUUUAUCUACUAUUCAUUCAUUAAUUUCUAAGAUGAUGAUAAUGAUGAUGAUUUUAGGCCUACAAUAAUAAAUUAUUAUCAAUCGAGUACCAUUAUCAAAUUUCAACUGAAUAUCAUAAUAUGUAGCUAUUAAUUCCAAUAAUAAAAUUGUUAUGCUAGUUCACCAAUUUCAAAUCUAUUAUUGUAAAAAAAGUUAUAUUACAAGAUUUGUGAUUACAUUUUCUUAAUUUCCAAAUUAAAUUUAGAAUUGAUUGAUUGAUCAUGCUUGAUGGACAGACAGGGAGACUGCAAACCUCACUCGAUCAUUGUUUAAAUAAUUAAUUUCCAGCUGAUAAUUUUUAUAAAUUCAUGAAUACAUUAUUAUUUUCUAUUUGUUCAUAAAAUAGAAUUACUUUUUAGCGAUUUCCAACUCUAUUUACAAAAAUAGAACAUAUCACUGAAAGGCCUAACAUGUCCUCGCCCAAUUUAAAUUGAUGGUGUAAUAACUGUAAUAAAUAAAUAAAUAAAUAGAAAGGAAUAACUAUUAGACCCCAAAAUGUUCAAUACAUAGGCAUUUUUGUUGCACAAAAGCCUUUCAAAAUUUAAUCAUGAUUAAAUUCCGCGAGAACCAAUCAUAGAAGAUUUUUCUGAGAAUAAGGCUUCUUUGAUUAGUUCUCAUGGAAUUUAAUCGGGAUUAAAAGCUAUCAGACUUUGUGCAACCGGGCGAUAAUCCUCUAAAAAACAAACCCUCAAAUAAGCAAAUUAAAUUUCCAAUAAUAUAAUACUUAUCUAUCUUCAACAUACAUAGUCCCCUAUGCUUCAUAAAGUAGAUAAUUGAUUAUAAUUAAGAAUAAUAAGUAUUUCAAUAUCAUUUCCUACCUCUAAUUCAAAUUUUUACAAAAUACUGAAAAUGCAUACUAACAGCAUAAUAAACACAUCUGUUUGUUGUUUGACAAUAAAUAAUACUUGACUGAAUAAAUAAAUACAUUCAAUGAAAAUCUAAAUUAAAAUUAAACUGAACAAAAAUUAAUAUCUGCCUAAAAGUUGAAGUAGAAUAUCGCUUACAAUAAUAAAAAUUAAUCAUCUUCAUGUAUAUUUCUGUAAAUUAGUCCAGAUAUUUAGCAUUGGCCAAUCCCAUAAAUCAAUAGAAUAAUAAUAGCACUCUACCUUCAGAUAAUUGCAGUUUCAAGUCUGCAAACUCCAAGACAAAUAAUUACAAUGUUUCAAGUAGAAAAUUGAGGCUCUGGUUCAAUCUUGACUUCCACCUUGACCACUGACUGACUCUGACCUUGGCCACGACUCGACCUUGACUUGACCUUAAUACCCCCUCAAUAUCAUUUUACCAUAUUAUCCUAAAACUGUUUAAAUUAUUCGACUAUUUGGGGAAAUUUUGUUUUUUCACAGUAAAUAAGUUUCAUAGCUUCAUAUUUGUCAAGAUUGUUCAAGAGCCCACAAUUUCUAUUUACUAUCUAGUUCAACUGAAAUUUGUCAUUUUGAAUAGUUUAAUUAAUACCAAGUCCUCCAAAAAGAAAAACAGAUCUGUAGGGUUCAAUUAUUAGGAAUAUUUUCAGUCUUUUACAGUAAACAGUAAUCAUAUAACCAACCAUGCAUGAUUCAGGAACCAAAACUUCUUUCAUCCAAGAAUAGUUGAAUUACUAUUGAGCAUUUCCUGGACAGGUUUCCUUAUUUCAGCCUAGUUGACUGAUAAGUCUGAUAGGCCAAAAUAUAUUUUUCAAAAAAUCAGUUGAUCUUUUGAUGGCCAAAGCAUAGGAUAUUCCAUAAAUUUGAGGGAGGUUCAGAUGAAUUUCUGGUACAGUCAUUGUACCAGACAAAUACAUUGCUUUUAAACAGAUGGAACUGGAUUUUUUAUGGUAGAGUAACUUUUGUAUGUUGGUUGGAACAAAUCGGUUCAUUCUUGACUUGCUUUUGUUGUUCUCUGAGAGGAAUUUCUACAGUUUGGACGUUCAGAUGUUGCUGCAUUAUCAUGAAUAUGGAGGAUUGAAUGCUCCAAGGUUUUUGGAUGAUAGGGUUUGGGGAAUUUUUUUUGUCGACCAGUUGUGGUAGAGGUAUCAUUGUGAUGAGAAACUGUUGAAUGUGAUGUAAGUAUCGGUUCCACACACUUUGUGAGUCUGAGGCCUGAAGGCGGCCUUGAGGCGCCCGAGGCCGCCUUGAGGCAGAGGCCACCUGUGUGGGCCAGUCAAGGUAUUUGCAUUUCAAAGUAAGUAUUGUCCAAUCCCCACAGCAAGCUCAAAGACCCCCUGAAUACCCCAAAUUUAGUACAUCCACUCUGAAUACCCCGCUUUUAUACCACCCCCUGAAUACCUCAAAUACAGUAUACAAAUCCCCCCCAACCAAAGAUUUUUUUAUUUACCACCAAUAAUUGUUUUGACCCCUCCCCCAAAUAAUUUUAAUCACACUGUUUGCUUAUUCGCCCCCCCCCCCAGUGAUCACCUGUUGUAAGUUGUUGGCUCAAGCUGUGUGGUGUUGUUGGGAGGUUUUGUUGUGGUUUGCUGAGUGGUACAGAGGGUUUACUAUGUGGUCGAGGUAAACUCUCUCAGCUGUUGACCAAAGUCGACAAUGAACCCUUUUUGUUCCAACCAACAUACAAUGAAUGAUUACGAAAUUCAGAUAAGUCUAGAACUUCCAACUCCCUACUUUUCCAAAAAACAAGCUGAUUUGUAGACAAGUACUAGUUUUACCUUCCAGGUUGCUCAAAGAACGUAAUUCAACUAGGUAGCUUUUCUCCGCAAUGCUCUAAUUACUGCUGUUCAAUGAAUAAUGAGUUAACCACCAAACUGCAAUAUCAAAUUAAAUCAAAUCUUCAUUUUUCCCAAAAACAUAAUUACAAUGUCAAUGUUUGUAAGAAAGUAAUAUAUAAUAUAAAAUGAAAUACCAACAGAUAGGUUAAGAUAUUAAUAUAAUACAUACCAAUAUAAUGUAUAUAACAUAACAAUAUAACAUAAUUACAAGUGACAAUGGUUAAAAAGGAGUAAAAUUCAAUAUAAAAUGAAAAAUGAAAUACCAUGCAAUAGGUAAAAAUGUGAAUGCAUAACAAUAUAACAUAAUAAUAUAAACAUAAUUUCAAUGACAAUGGUAAUAAAAAACUAUAAUACAAUAUAACAUGAAGAAUGAAAUACCAUCAAAUUGGAUGAAAUAUAAAUAUAUUAAACAGCAAGUCUCUGCAAGGUUUGAAAAAAACCUGAGUGCAGAGGCUAAGUGUUAUUGAAUUAUUAAUAAAUAACAAUAUUAUUCAAAUAAAUAUUUAAUAUUAUUGAAAUAGCAAUAGUAUAAAUCUAAACAUAAUUCAUGCUCAAAUCCCUUCCUGUUUCUCAAUCUCUCUCUCUCUCUCUCAAUGCUACAGUUUUCUAUUCAGAACCAUCUUUUGGUUGAAAAAUAUUUUUUGUUGAUUAGUUCAUCAUCUAAGCAUUGGGCUAGGACAUCAUUUUGGUGUAGGACUCUUAAAAUAUAUAAUAGCUUUAAUGGAACUCUCGUUGGAAUAAAGCAGAAUGUAAAAUUCAUUUUUAUGCCGAAUGAGAGAGUGAUUUUGAAAUAAUUAACUUGAAAGGAUAUCCUCUCCACAACUAAGCUCUGUCAAUCAAGCAUCAUCAAUCAAUGAAAAAGUAUUAAACAAUUGACCAUUUUUUUCAAUUUAGGCAAUACUAUUUCUGUAUGAUAAUUAUGAACAAAAUUUUCAAUCAUUAUUAAUCAGUUGUUAAUAUUAUUACCAGUAUUUCUAUUUUUCAAUCAUCAUCAUUAUCAUUUCAAAUCAAUUGAAACUAUUCCUUAUUUGACAGUUUAAUAGAUUCCGUUCCACAUUUCAAAAUCAAAACCUUUUUCUCCUAGAAAUAUUUUUGUUUUUUCCUUUGAAAAUUUUCAAAUUUGUUUUUCCAAAUUUAAUUUUCCUAAUUGUAUUUUAAAAAUUCACUUUCUCAUAAAAAAUCAAAAUUUUCAUAUAUAUGAAUUGAUUGAAUCACUCAAUCAUAAUAAAGACUGUGCCCAAAUCUCUGAGUACUCCAUCUCACUAAAUUGCUCCAGUAAAACUUACUCACUUGCUCCAGCUCAUUUAGAACCUCAGCCUCCUUCAGAAAGCCUCUCCACUCGCCUCUUCGACAGCCUUUUCGACAGCCUCCUCGACAGCCUCUUCGACAGCCUUUUCGACAGCCUCCUCGACAGCCUCUACAACAGCCUCUUCUACAGCCUCUAGGUCUCAAUCCCCGGCCGGCUCUUCCUCAUCGUCCUCCACAUCCUUGAAAAAUAACAAAAAAUUCUUAGGGGAUAUUAUGUAGGGAAGAAUCGGCAAACAGCCUUUUUGGCCUUGCCACAUUGUAACAGACAAUGAUGGGAGAUUCUACAAAAGAAAAAGUAAGUCAUCAACAUUAUCUACUUGUACAAUACUCCGGAUAGUCCGCUAUUGCAUUUCUUGUUUUGUUUGUUCAUUUAUUUUUAUUCAUAUACAAAUGCAAUGAUAUAUUACAUAUUAUACAAAUUAUUAAUAUUUAUAUGCAUAACAAUAAUUAUUAUUAUUGGCCUUAUGAAUUUCGAUCUAUUCAUUUAUAUCUAUCUCUUUCAUAAUUUAAAAUUACAACAUUUGUAAUGGACCAACAUGUAUUUGAUUAUUACAAUUGAUUAUUACUAGAGUAGAUUAUUACAGUAUUCAUAUUCACUAGUUUUUUACAAUAAGCAGAAUAAGUUUAAUUUUUUCUUCAUGUUUGUUUUCAGUGUGCUCCAACGAUGUUUAUAGAAUUUCGUUCUAUGUGCAGUGGAUGGGGGAUGGGAGGCAUUCCUGGGUGGACCUCUCUUAUUUGGUGCCCUUUGAGAGGGCACCAAACCCCCAGCACACUCCGUAUGACAUGUUGAAAACUUACAUC
RNAcentral lists this long non-coding RNA (7818 nucleotides) under Nilaparvata lugens (brown planthopper). Its description in RNAcentral is "uncharacterized LOC120355451, transcript variant X1". The record is from RNAcentral. Lineage: Eukaryota; Metazoa; Arthropoda; Insecta; Hemiptera; Delphacidae.